This is a long non-coding RNA of Saccostrea echinata, 1270 nucleotides long. RefSeq lists it as uncharacterized. NCBI's taxonomy places the organism in Eukaryota, Metazoa, Mollusca, Bivalvia, Ostreida, Ostreidae. The transcript is spliced from 4 exons. The record is from RefSeq and is a predicted model, not a curated record.
CUCGGAGUCUGGAGAAUACAUCAUUCAGUUGGCAGAAUCACUUGUGAGAGUAUUUUGUGAUUUCCGAAACGGACGUUCCUGGACAGUUAUUCAAAGGCGUGUAAAUGGGUAGAUAAGUUUUAAAAGAAACUGGAAAGAAUAUGCUGAAGGAUUUGGUUGCUUAGACACUGACUUUUGGAUUGGAAACAAGGUCAUUCAUGUUCUGACUCAAAAUGACCAUAAACGCCUCCUUAGAGAUUUGGAAGACCACAACGGUGUCCAUCAUUAUGCACACUAUUCUGACUUUUCAGUUAAAGCUGUGGCGGAAAAAUACAAGUUGUCCGUGAAAGGAUUUUCUGGUAAUAUAUUUGAUGCUUUUGGAUCUGUCUGUGAAAGAUAUUGUCAUAACGACAUGAUGUUUUCUACCUAUGAUCAAGACAACGACGGAAGUGCAUCCAAGUCAUGCGCAGUAAACCACAAUGGAUGGUGGUUUAACGAUUGUUAUCGUUGUGCCCUAAAUGAUGAAAAGAUUGGUUGGUGGACAGCAGACCAUGGAAUUCUGUAUUUCAGAAGUGUCAAAAUGGCUCUCGCGAAAACACUUUAAAAAGGAUAUAGUGCAUUGUUUCUAGAGAUGACUAUCAAUUGACAACAUGAUGGUCAUAAGUUCACUUGUGGUGAACAUUUUGAUUUUUGCGUGAUAGAUUUGAAUGAAGAAUGGCAAUUUAUAGAUCCUUAUAAAAACCAUUUACUAUGAAUGAUAUUCAAAAUUGGCUAUAAUGUCAAUUUUUUCCUAUUAUAUGUUUAUUGUGUAUAUUAAAUUAACUUACUGGAAUAUGAAAUUCUGAUUUGCUCCCAUUCUACGAACAGUGUAAAAGUGUGCAACAUUUUAUAGAUUUGAAAUAAUCCUGUUUCAUGUUUUUAAGCAACGAAGAGCACCAACAUAUUUUUAGAGGAGAAAUCGCUGAGUUUGUUUCUUUGUUUGUUUUUUUUUUUUUUUUUUUUUUUAUUAUUAUUAUUAUUAUUAUUUUUUAAAUGAACUGAUGAGUAUAGUAUAGCAUGUUUAAGCAGAUCGAUACAUGUCCUUUGAUAAUUGUAUCGUUUGAACAUUUAAAGGUUUCCAAGAUAAUAUCCAAUUAAAAAUUUAUACGGAUAUAAGGAUGGCAAAAGAAAAUUCGUAUAAGAUGAUUUCCGCCUUGAUACAUGUAAGUGAUCAAAUAAUGAUCACUUUUAAGACAAAAAUGAAAAUUUAAUACCUUUUCUAAUACAUGUUCUGUUUGCAUGAAUACAUAUA